AUACGGAGGGUGCAAGCGUUACUCGGAAUCACUGGGCGUAAAGCGCGCGCAGGCGGCUUGAUAAGUUGGAUGUGAAAGCCUACGGCUCAACCGUAGAACUGCAUCCAAAACUGUCAGGCUAGAGUGUGGGAGAGGAAGAUGGAAUUAGUUGUGUAGGGGUAAAAUCCGUAGAGAUAACUAGGAAUACCAAAAGCGAAGGCGAUCUUCUGGAACAGUACUGACGCUGAGGCGCGAAAGCGUGGGGAGCAAACAGGAUUAGAAACCCCUGUAGUCC
Molecule: ribosomal RNA, 274 nt
Filed under: uncultured bacterium
Lineage: Bacteria
Description: partial 16S ribosomal RNA
Rfam family: Bacterial small subunit ribosomal RNA
Source: RNAcentral